UGUCCUACAGCAGGUGCGCCUCGCAAGUCUCUACUGCUCAGUAUCUUUCGUCUCAUCAACACGCACCGCAGUAGAUGCACGCCGCAAGCAUGACCAGGUAAAAAACCAGGAUCCAAAAUAUCACGCUGCCAUAUUCCUCACCCAUGAUAUAUUCUACUACCCUCACUAUACUUGAACUAAUUGCACGACGCAAGCAAGGUUGUUUUUUCCAACGUCAACAAUAGAACCCCGAGUAACUUACUGAGAAACACAAUUCCCAAGCUCAUUCCGAAGCUUAUUUUGCUUUUUCCACUCGGUUUGGUUGAUAAUUAAUUUGUAAUGGACUCUUGUCUGUUGAACACAUCAGCAUAUCAACAAG
This 358-nucleotide long non-coding RNA is filed under the name Physcomitrium patens. Its description in RNAcentral is "long non-coding RNA (PPAT_LNC008974)". Lineage: Eukaryota; Viridiplantae; Streptophyta; Bryopsida; Funariales; Funariaceae. The record is from RNAcentral.